CUCACCGCUGCCGUGCCAUCUGCGGAGCCAAGUGGGUCUGGGUGUACGAUCAAAGAAAAAGAGGGCGACCGGUGAAAGGAAGGAAAGCGACACCGCGUUUGGUUGAUUCGUGCGAACGCCCCUCCCAAACAUUCAUGGAGGAGAACCGGUGCUUCGCUUUGUUUCCUUUGCGUCGGCGGCCGCCCGUUCCACCGCGCCAGCGCUCGCAACAGCAGAGGAGGCCGCAUACACGCACACACCAAACCGCUCCUUCAUAUACAGGCUUACAAGCUGCAUAGACAUUGUUGCCCAUUAGACUCCGAUUGUGCAUCGGCUACCCUCUGGUCAUAGAGAGAGGUAAAACGCCCAUCACAGCGUCGUCGUUCUUUUCCCUUUGCAUGGUGAAGCCACACGCGUACUGGCAGGCCAAAAAGGGCGGAAAAGCUAAACGAAAAUGCUGCCCCUUCGAGCUACCCCGGUGCGCAAGGCUCCGGUUAUCGUCCUCGAAGAGGCGAACCGAGCGCAUACAAUCGAAACGGCGGCGUCGACGUAUUCGGAGUUAGAGGCCUCGCCGGCGCCCGUUACUUGGGGAAGCGAAUCCACCUCUGCUUCGCCCUCGCCGGCCUCUGGCGCCAGCCAUCAUUCCUUUCACCCGAUCCGAAAGACGUUUGCUCGCUCGGUGGCGCCGACGACGAAGGCCGUGAAGCAUUCCGCGCAGGCGAGCACUAUCGCUUCUCCCCCUGCCUCAGGUACGCAGCUCCUCAGCGCGUCGACUAGAGAGUCUUCUUCACCGCCAGCGCCACCUUCUCCACUUUGCGGCAUCAUAGACUUUUACCGCGGCUCCUCUCCGUCACCGCACCGACCCACGCAGUAUGCGGGUGGGGACCCGAGAGAAAGCGAGCAAGCGGACCUGAAGAGCGCGGCUGGCAGUCGCGCAGGCCCGGAGUCCCCCUCGCUGUCGUCAUCUAGGGCGUCGGAGAUGUUUUGUCGCAGCCCGGCCCCGGCGCGCUCGUACAUGGAGGAUUUUCUGGCCAUGACCGAUGAGGACGGCAACGCGCCGUUGCCGCAAGUGGAGACAGCGCCGGCCAUGCGCGACAGCAGCGGCGUAGGACAUGAUUCCACCUCUCCUUCCCCGCGCGUAAUCGGCUUGGCUCUCGACAACUCGCCGGUUGUGCCAGAGAUGUGGGAAGAAACGAGUUCCUCUGCGCCUACCUCCUCGACCGGCGUCUCGGACGGGUUUGAGAAGGCGGAGGAGUCGCAGCUGCGGCACCGCAGUGUGUCCGUCGCGCGCAUCCAUUUCAGCUCCGCUUCGCCGAACUCUCCGCUGCCGGCUCAGCUGACCGCCUCCCCUAUGAAAUGGAGGCGGAGCGUGAAAGGCUCGCCUCCAUCGCAGGCGAACGCUUCCGACGUACCGCAACGGUCUGCGGCCAUGAUACAAGAGAAGCAUGCAUCGUCGCCGAUGGCGGACACGAAGGCAGCGUGGUCUGCAACGAUGUUUGCCACGAAAGCCAGAGUCGGCCUCAACCGGAACAGCCGCAGCGGAGAUUUUGUGCACCGCGAGGCGGUGGAGAGAGUUUUGCGCUUCCCAGCCGAUACGACACAGGAGGAGGUUGCUCGCAUCGACUACGUGGAUAAUGAGAAGGAUGGCAAGGGCGCAAAGAUAGCCUCCGCCGCCUCGCAGGCUGCGCCCGUCGUCUCAGAUGACGUGGCUGGCCAUUGCAGUGGACAAAGUCGAGUCCAGAGGUCGCCAUAUGUAGCGCCGCCGCUCUCUUCGCGACGACUUAGUGGUUUCCCGGCGUCGCCGCCCGUCGGCACAGAGCGGCACGUGAUGAUACCGUCUUGUGCUAGUAGUGAAGCGAGCGUUCGCCGCGGCACUUGGUUUGACGGCCUUGGAGGGGGUCUAGUGUCUGCCCCUUGUGAGACACGAACGGACAGUGCUUCGCCAUCAGUGCACCGCUUUCUGGGCUGCAGCGCGCCUUACUUUCCCAUGAAUCGGUGGAAUGUGGCACCUCCGCUGCUGCGGCGCGUAGAGGAAGAGGUGGCUGCCAGUGAGCCUCACCAGCCACCGAAUUGCUCGGCGAAGAAGCCGAGCGUGCGGGCCCUUCUCGCUAGGCUUUAUCCAUUUCCGUCUGCGUCGGCUCGCCGUGGCGCGGGUUCUGGCAUUGUUUCUCAUGACAAGCGGUAUGCCUCGCAGAUGUCCCAACGAACGGCUGACGCACCACCGCCUCGGUGGAACGCAUCCACCAAAAUUCACUGCGACCCGCUCACAGGGGGCAUUGAGCUGGCGCGUGCGAGCAAACGCCACUCGAGCGUCCGGCACGGCGGCCGAAGUGGGAGCAGCGACGACUACGUGAGCGAGAGGCCCAUCUCUUCACCUCGUCGUCGCAGCAGGUCCGCCCCGGCACAGGCGCCACUGCACACACGCGCCUCGCUCUUGAGGCUGGAGGCGACGAAAGCACGUAAAGCGGCAGACGCAGCGCUUCAUGAAGUGGCGUCGCCACCAUUUCAUCCAACCGUCGCCCCGCAUAGUGCGCGCAUCUGCCGAGACAAACUUCGUGAGCUGAAGAGCUCUCACGGUGCCGGUGUUGCUGCGGGUGCGGCGGCGGCGGCGCCAGCGCCAGGGACUCAGCUGGAGCAGGCAUCGCGGACAGAGAACUCUGAAAGCGCAGCUAAAGCAUGGCAUGGCACCUCUAGGCAGGAUAUCGUGGGUGACGCUGCAGUGGUGGCAGACGUCUCCGUGUCGAGCUCAGAGGAGGUCGAUGCAGUGGCGACUGCACGGGCAAAGGACCCCUCGUGCCCCUUAGUGGCAACUUUACCCGCCAGACAACCGCCUCUGCCCCAGGUCGCAGAGCUGUGGGGAGCGAGUUCCAUCGACGGUGCACGUAUGUACGCAGACGCCGCUGCGCUACGAGAACGUAGACAGGCAACGCAACAUCGUUGGCUACAAGAGAGGAAGCCGGAAGAGCAGCCGCAUAUGCAGAUGCACCCUCGCCGUGGUGCCUCCUCGUGUGCCGCGCGGCAGCCGACAGAGGAUUUAGGCUGCCCGAAGCCACCUCGUCCGCAAGUCUCCGCGGCCACAGAUCGCAUUAGCACCUCGACACAGUGCGAUCUGUUGCCCAGUGAGCGCACGGCGGGUCCUGAAAAAAUGGCUGCUCCUGGUUUUGAUUUGCAGCUGGGUGCCACGCCCGUCUCCGUUGGCGCAGAGCAUGCGCCACUGACUGCCGGUUUGCCGAUGGCAACACACACGGCGCUUCAGCGCGUGGACAUGUACAGCACAACGCCAACGGACGCACUAAAGACCCGCGCCACGUCGUUGGAGAGGCCGCAUCGCGUGGAAGACCAGCUACUGGAACUCGAAACGGGCCGGCGACGUCGACUGGGAAUGUUGCGCCAUCUCGCAAGCACGCGCGACUCGCUGACCGGCGAACUCCUUUUCAAACCGUUCACGGGUCGUUGAAGAAAUGCUGGUUAUCAUGUAUAAGGAAAGCCAACUACGUUGGCGUCGUUUCACGGCCCGUCGCUCGCUGCCCUGCACGUGGGUGUUCCCACCCUCUCUUCUUUGCGGCUGCCCCACUUCCGCAGUUGUUUCUCACACGAUACGCGGGCGUGCUGAGAGGUGUCCGGUUGGAUGGCGCAAACC
Molecule: unclassified non-coding RNA, 3619 nt
Filed under: Leishmania donovani
Lineage: Eukaryota; Euglenozoa; Kinetoplastea; Trypanosomatida; Trypanosomatidae
Description: gene:LdHU3.34.2410(CDS-product:hypothetical_prote in_conserved)
Source: RNAcentral